This 296-nucleotide signal recognition particle RNA is filed under the name Prolemur simus (greater bamboo lemur). RNAcentral describes it as "Metazoan signal recognition particle RNA (ENSPSMG00000015877.1)". It matches the Rfam family "Metazoan signal recognition particle RNA". Rfam says of the family: The signal recognition particle (SRP) is a universally conserved ribonucleoprotein. The record is from Rfam by way of RNAcentral. Lineage: Eukaryota; Metazoa; Chordata; Mammalia; Primates; Lemuridae.
GCUGGGUAUAUGGUGUGUGUCUAUAGUUUCAGCUAUUUGGGAGGCUGAGGCGGACGAUAGCUUGAGCCCAGGAGUUCGGGACUGUAGUGUGCUAUGCUGAUCAGGUGUUGGCACUAAGAUCUCCAUCAACAUGGUGAUCUUCCAGGAACGGGGCAGCACCAGGUUGCCUAAGGAGGGGUGAACCUGGCCAGGUUGGAAACAGAACAGGUUAAAACCCCCAUGCUGAUCAGUAGUGGGAUUAGGCCUGUGAAUAGCCACUGCACUCCAGCCUGGGCAACACAGUGAAACCUGACUUU